This 472-nucleotide ribosomal RNA is filed under the name uncultured bacterium. RNAcentral's name for it is "bacterial SSU rRNA". It matches the Rfam family "Bacterial small subunit ribosomal RNA", at positions 329 to 793 of the family's 1533-position model. The record is from RNAcentral.
CGCUAUGCUCCCUACGGGAGGCAGCAGUGGGGAAUAUUGCACAAUGGGCGCAAGCCUGAUGCAGCCAUGCCGCGUGUGUGAAGAAGGCCUUCGGGUUGUAAAGCACUUUCAGUCGUGAGGAAGGUAGUGUAGUUAAUAGCUGCAUUAUUUGACGUUAGCGACAGAAGAAGCACCGGCUAACUCCGUGCCAGCAGCCGCGGUAAUACGGAGGGUGCGAGCGUUAAUCGGAAUUACUGGGCGUAAAGCGCAUGCAGGUGGUUUGUUAAGUCAGAUGUGAAAGCCCGGGGCUCAACCUCGGAAUAGCAUUUGAAACUGGCAGACUAGAGUACUGUAGAGGGGGUAGAAUUUCAGGUGUAGCGGUGAAAUGCGUAGAGAUCUGAAGGAAUACCGGUGGCGAAGGCGGCCCCCUGGACAGAUACUGACACUCAGAUGCGAAAGCGUGGGGAGCAAACAGGAUUAGAUACCCUGGUAG